This 66-nucleotide transfer RNA is filed under the name Adelges tsugae (hemlock woolly adelgid). RNAcentral describes it as "tRNA-Pro". The record is from RNAcentral. Lineage: Eukaryota; Metazoa; Arthropoda; Insecta; Hemiptera; Adelgidae.
CAGUAUAUAUUUUAAAAAAAAUAUUAAUUUUGGAGAUUAAUGAUAAUAUAAAUUUAUUUAUACUGA